GAGCCACAAUUGACACCACCUGCAGCUCAUCAUCAGGCUUGUUGUCCUGCUCUACUCCCAGCUAUUUAAGGACAAGCAGGAGCUCCAGUCUUUGCCAGAUUGUCUCACAAUUCUGCGUGCACAUUGACAUCCACCCCUUGGAACUUAUUAGCAGCUCUGGACCGAGACAUCUCCUUCCACCACCUCACCACCUAAAGUUGUACCUGCCUGCUCGCCCUGCCAUUCAUCCAACACUUCUCCCACAACUGGAGAUCCUUCACUGGCGUACCCCCUCCGCCGUCAUUUCCCCACAGGAACACAGAACAGCAUCCCGGACCUGGACCAAGCCUUUCACACUUAUCAAUAAACACUGUUAUUUUCUCC
Molecule: long non-coding RNA, 363 nt
Organism: Melanotaenia boesemani (Boeseman's rainbowfish)
Lineage: Eukaryota; Metazoa; Chordata; Actinopteri; Atheriniformes; Melanotaeniidae
Exons: 2
Source: RefSeq, a predicted model, not a curated record